ACAAGGUUUCCGUAGGUGAACCUGCGGAAGGAUCAUUGUAGAAUGCUGCACUUAAAAUGACAUGUGAACUUGUAUUGCUGAUCAGGUGUUAGGAGGUCGGGCCUAGUCUUGUGCCUCCUUUUGCCUUGCUAAUUGACAUUUGGGUUGCCUAUAAUUGGUCUCUCAUGUCAUGUUGGCACCAAAACAAACCCCGGCACGGAACGUGCCAAGGAAAACAAUAUAUAAAAAGAGUUGGCCUGUAAUGAUCCGUUUUUGGUUUGCAUUCGGGCCUUCUAUCUUUAAAAUUCAUAAACGACUCUCGGCAACGGAUAUCUCGGCUCACGCAUCGAUGAAGAACGUAGCAAAAUGCGAUACUUGGUGUGAAUUGCAGAAUCCCGUGAACCAUCGAGUUUUUGAACGCAAGUUGCGCCCAAAGCCAUUUGGUUAAGGGCACGUCUGCCUGGGCGUCUCGCAUCAUGUCGAUCCUUUCAACGUCAAAUGACAAACAUGUUGUUGGGAGCGGAGAUUGGUCUCCCAUGCCCAAUGGUGUGGUUGGCUAAAAAGAAACUUCUUUUUCGAUUGAUACAUGACUGUUGGUGGUUGACAAAACCUUCGUUUGGAGUUGUGUAGCAAUUUGUGAGGAAGAAAGUAAAUGAAAGACCCCAAAGCAUUAUCUUUAUGUCAAUGUUUCGAAUGCGACCCCAGGUCAGGCGGGACUACCCGCUGAGUUUAAGCA
This 715-nucleotide ribosomal RNA is filed under the name Acilepis divergens. RNAcentral describes it as "eukaryotic LSU rRNA". The stretch from base 294 to 449 matches the Rfam family "5.8S ribosomal RNA". Lineage: Eukaryota; Viridiplantae; Streptophyta; Magnoliopsida; Asterales; Asteraceae. The record is from RNAcentral.